CAUGUGCCCCCUUUUUAUCGAGUUGUUGAUUCAGAGGGGCAGGAAAAGUUUCACAAAUCCCACUGCAGGCCUGGCUCUUGCUAUGCCCAGGUGGGGCAGCCAGGCAAACUCAUGCUUCCCAGAAAGUCAAGACUCUGUGUGCUGCCUCAGGUUGAGCACAUCUUUGGGAAUGACUUUCCCAUACUCGGCUAAGGAAGUACUUGGAGAGAUUCGAGAAACAUACACCCAAGCCCUCCAGUGCAGGGUUGUGCUAACUGCUAAGAGAGAGGAGAUCCUCGCUGCCUGCCCACUCUAUCCUUCUUGGGUCUUUGUGAGCCCUGGAACGUAGCCCCAUAACCUGGGGAGUAACAUGAGAUUGAAGGGACUUGGAACUUCUUCCUUCACUCUGAGGGCCCAUGGUACGUACAAAUGCUUAGGGGCACUGAGGGCCCCACCAGACACUUGAAGAAAAAAUGAGUGAAAAGGGGGGGUAGACACCACUGCCAAGCAAUGGCAAGACAGUAAUAAAGGACACACACACACUUCACAGUUGUAAGAUGGCUUUAUGUUCCAAUAUGCAAAAUAAAAUGUCCAUGCUAUAUACCAAAACACUUGGAAGUUUCAUACCACCUGUCAGCUAAUGUGUUUUCUAAUAAAGCUUUAUCUGUAGUGUGUGCAUUUAUAAUUAUAUAUUUAUAUAUAAUCUAAACCAUUCUUAGAUAACAUCAAAUGUAAUAAAAAUUUAAAUAGAUGUCUUUCCAAAUACUCCCUCCAGCAUCCUUUUUCAGUAAGUCUAUUUGUAAAAAAGCAAAGCUGAAUCUGACGUGUGGCCCGCAUUUGUGAGAUAUAGAUAUAUUUAUUUAUAUAUUUAUUUAUAUAAUAUAUAAAUAGCUAUUCAGCAUGCAAAGAGUGUAGUGAUUUCCAAAUCCUGAUUUAGAGUUCACACCAGCCACCCUGCCAUUCUGGUGACAUUCAAUGCUAAUGGACUGAGUAUGUGCUCUCCUCAUUGCCCAUUCUGAAAGAAUUCUCUGCUCCUCUGAGCGGGAACGCUGACGUACUUUUUCUGAGCUGUCCAUUUCCUUCUGCCGGCUUCCUUGCUCCAGGGAUGCAGAUUUCCUGGGGGCAGAGCGGGUCUAGCAGAUGUGUAACAUCAGUUCUGAUGAGACCUCCACGGGAUGCUGCCAGGUAAGGUGUGUUUGACUGCCCAUCACAGGCUGCAGAGGGAUCUGAGAGGCCGCAUGCUGUGACUGGGGGGAGCAGCUCUGGACUUUAUGAUGACGAAACUUGAUUACAGAGAUAACUACUGGUGGCAUUUUUCUUCCUCUCGGGGGAAAAGCAAGCACCAUGAGGUGACAUUUGGCACAUGACCCUUUCUGAAAGUCAUGCCUCAGACCCUGGAGCUUCAGGACUCCAUGUCCAGGCUGAUGCAUGGCCAACUCCACUCUCACAGCUCUCUAAGGCUCAGGUAGUCUCAUACAAUCUCCAGAAGCCAAAGGAGGGGGGUACUCCUGUUCCCAAGAGUGGCGGGCGGCUCCCCUUACAGGUAGAAGGCCAAGAACCCUAAGUAAGCACAGAUACCCCCAAUCCCAGCAAAGAAAGGCCCUCCCUGUGCCAGAGGCCUCAGCCGGCCCCUGAGUAAAAUCAGAGUAUAGUUCAGAAACCUCUAGAUAACUCACGAGCCCUCUACUUCUGUCCCACCCAGGGCAUGUCAAGAGAUGCCAGGUAACAGUGGGCUUGGCUCCUGAAGCCAAAAUUACUUCUUAGAUAAUUGUAUUUUUUUUUCUUGUUUUGGCCUUAGCUGCAUGUCAGAAGACAGAUGCUCUCCAAUCACAUACAGGCUUGUAGAAGCACACGCAUACAAGCAUGCACACACACACACACACACACACACACCCCUUCUGAAAUACCUUUCCAUGUCUCUUGGCAGUGCCGGCCACCCACAGAGGUUAACACUGGAUUAACAUGGUCCUGGGGCUGUCAAGAAUCCAGCAGUCACAUCACCCAUCAGUCCAGUUCUCCACAGUUCCCACUCCUGAAUGAUACUGUAAGGAAGACUCUCGGGUCAAGGAGAAGCUCUGGAUCCAUGCUGGGAGCCAUGGAUACAGAGCUGGGCAGCCUGGAGGAAGAGGGGUGGGGCUCCUAGCCCCUCUGCAGACUAAUGCCUGGCUACCCAGGGAUACUUACAAAUCUUUCUCCCACUCCUUCCCCUGCACUAAAUUCCUGUGAUUUGGCAGAUGACCCAGUCACUCUGGGUCAGGAAGGAGCAGAGGACCAGACAGGUGGUAUAGGCUUUAAGGCCAUCAGUAUGUACCACGAUUAUCAAUUUUGUUGCUGACCUAUGAAAGCAACUGUAGACCAAAUACAGGUAUGGCUGAGCUCCAACCAAGUUUUAUUUAUGGAUACUAAAAUUUGACUAUUAUAUAAUAACAUGGAAAAAAAACCCACCUUUUUAAAAUGACCCAAAGGCCAUUCUUCUGACCUCCAGGGGACUGGAUUAUAAUGGGACUUGCAUCUAGGACACUUGGCAUUCUGCCAGGCUCAUCUCCAGGAGUGGGCUGACAGAAUGUUCUAGAUUAUAAUAAGCAAAAGUCCCCAGACUCACUCCCAAGAGAAUUUUGGGGACCUACAAAAGUCCCUUGGCAAGCAAGGUAACACUAUUCACAGCUGACUCUGUCUCGACCUGCUGAUUUCCAAGCCAGUGUUAUACAGAAGCCAAGUGCCCAGUCACUCAUUUCAGUGCCCAAGACGCCUGUGUGCAUCUUUAAGGGCUGGAUGGAGAGCACCAGACCCAGAACUUUGGGUUCUCCCUGCUCUGUGGCUGAGACUACCAACAAUCCAGCUUCCUGCUUCCUUCUAGGCAGAGCCGAGCAGGAGGAACCCCAUCGAGACUCCCAAACCAACACCUGGGGCUCCGGCCAGCAUACUUGGAACACCAAGAACUGUCUGAGGAUUCCCAAGGCCACACAAGAGUGAGGGCCCACAUGCCAGCAUGUGGGAAGGUGGCUGCUCUGUCCCAGCCCCGCCCUCAGGCUCUUCCGGAACCCUACCUCUGCGCUUCAGGCAGUGGUAGAAGAGGCUGGAGUCCCUUUGCGUGGGGAAGGUGUUGAGGGGCAGGUCCUGGGGCUCUGCAGCAGCAAACGGCACGUGGGCCCCGUUCUCAUAC
Peromyscus californicus insignis is the source of this 3142-nucleotide long non-coding RNA. RefSeq lists it as uncharacterized. The transcript has 3 exons. The record is from RefSeq and is a predicted model, not a curated record. Lineage: Eukaryota; Metazoa; Chordata; Mammalia; Rodentia; Cricetidae.